UACGUAGGGUGCGAGCGUUAAUCGGAAUUACUGGGCGUAAAGCGUGCGCAGGCGGUUUUGUAAGACAGAUGUGAAAUCCCCGGGCUUAACCUGGGAAUGGCAUUUGGGACUGUAAGGCUGGAGUGCGGCAGAGGAGACUGGAAUUCCUGGUGUAGCAGUGAAAUGCGUAGAUAUCAGGAGGAAUACCGAUGGCGAAGGCAGGUCUCUGGGCUGACACUGACGCUCAUGCACGAAAGCGUGGGGAGCAAACAGG
RNAcentral lists this ribosomal RNA (253 nucleotides) under uncultured bacterium. RNAcentral's name for it is "partial 16S ribosomal RNA". It matches the Rfam family "Bacterial small subunit ribosomal RNA", at positions 524 to 776 of the family's 1533-position model. The record is from RNAcentral.